This 83-nucleotide non-coding RNA is filed under the name unclassified sequences. The record is from Rfam.
GGCGGAUUGAUUCGUCUCCACCCGAUGCAACGGCUGACAUACGGCGAAGUCACCGAUAACCUCAGGUUAGCGGAUGGCGAAGC